UGGGGAAUCUUGCGACAAUGGGGCGAAAGCCUGACGCAGCCAUGCCGCGUGAAUGAUGAAGGUCUUAGGAUUGUAAAGUUCUUUCGCCCGUGACGAUGAUGACGGUAACGGGAGAAGAAGCCCCGGCUAACUUCGUGCCAGCAGCCGCGGUAAUACGAAGGGGGCUAGCGUUCGUUCGGAAUUACUGGGCGUAAAGCGCGCGUAAGGCGGUUUUGCAAGCCAGAGGUGAAAUGCCUGAGCUCAACUUAGGAAUUGCCUUUGGGACUGCGAGGCUUUGAGGACGGGAGAGGUGAGUGGAAUUCCCAGUGUAGAGGUGAAAUUCGUAGAUAUUGGGAAGAACACCGGUGGCGAAAGGCGGCUCACUGGCCCGUUUCUGACGCUGUCAAGCGCGAAAGCGUGGGGAUCAAACAGGAUUAGAUACCCUGGUAGUCCACGCUGUAAACGAUGAGUGCUAGGCGUCGGCACGCUUGCGUGUCGGUGCCGCAGCUAACGC
RNAcentral lists this ribosomal RNA (493 nucleotides) under uncultured Pseudomonadota bacterium. Its description in RNAcentral is "bacterial SSU rRNA". It matches the Rfam family "Bacterial small subunit ribosomal RNA", at positions 355 to 858 of the family's 1533-position model. Lineage: Bacteria; Pseudomonadati; Pseudomonadota. The record is from RNAcentral.